Molecule: ribosomal RNA, 851 nt
Filed under: uncultured bacterium
Lineage: Bacteria
Description: bacterial SSU rRNA
Rfam family: Bacterial small subunit ribosomal RNA
Source: RNAcentral
GCACGGGUGCGUAACGCGUAUGCAAUCUACCUUUCACAGAGGGAUAGCCCAGAGAAAUUUGGAUUAAUACCUCAUAGUAUAGUGAUACCGCAUGGUACUGCUAUUAAAGUCACAACGGUGAAAGAUGAGCAUGCGUCCCAUUAGCUAGUUGGUAAGGUAACGGCUUACCAAGGCAACGAUGGGUAGGGGUCCUGAGAGGGAGAUCCCCCACACUGGUACUGAGACACGGACCAGACUCCUACGGGAGGCAGCAGUGAGGAAUAUUGGUCAAUGGGCGCAAGCCUGAACCAGCCAUGCCGCGUGCAGGAUGGCGGUCCUAUGGAUUGUAAACUGCUUUUGCACAGGAAGAAACAACAUUACGUGUAAUGUCUUGACGGUACUGUGAGAAUAAGGAUCGGCUAACUCCGUGCCAGCAGCCGCGGUAAUACGGAGGAUCCAAGCGUUAUCCGGAAUCAUUGGGUUUAAAGGGUCCGUAGGCGGUUUAGUAAGUCAGUGGUGAAAGCCCAUCGCUCAACGGUGGAACGGCCAUUGAUACUGCUAGACUUGAAUUAUUAGGAAGUAACUAGAAUAUGUAGUGUAGCGGUGAAAUGCUUAGAGAUUACAUGGAAUACCAAUUGCGAAGGCAGGUUACUACUAAUGGAUUGACGCUGAUGGACGAAAGCGUGGGUAGCGAACAGGAUUAGAUACCCUGGUAGUCCACGCCGUAAACGAUGGAUACUAGCUGUUGGGAGCGAUCUCAGUGGCUAAGCGAAAGUGAUAAGUAUCCCACCUGGGGAGUACGUUCGCAAGAAUGAAACUCAAAGGAAUUGACGGGGGCCCGCACAAGCGUGGAGCAUGUGGUUUAUUCGAUG